GUAUGGGAAGGUUCAAAGUUUUCAUGAAUGAAUAUGAAUUAUUUCUACGUGACGUACUAAAAAGGUAAUAGUGUCUAUUUCCAUGAAAUGAAAAUGAAAUCAAUAUUCUAUAAACUUUUUCCACCAAUUUUUCUGUACACCUAAAAAAAUGCCGAGUAGAAAAAUAUAGCGUGGAUGAAUAUAGCGUGUACAAUUUUUCAAAUUUUGUUUUCUAUUUAAGUUUGUUAAUUCCUUUUUU
Salvia splendens (bonfire salvia) is the source of this 238-nucleotide long non-coding RNA. RefSeq lists it as uncharacterized. The record is from RefSeq and is a predicted model, not a curated record. The transcript has 2 exons. Lineage: Eukaryota; Viridiplantae; Streptophyta; Magnoliopsida; Lamiales; Lamiaceae.